AACGAACGCUGGCGGCAUGCCUAACACAUGCAAGUCGAACGAGACCUUCGGGUCUAGUGGCGCACGGGUUCGUAACGCGUUGGAACCUGCCCUUAGGUUCGGAAUAACUUCCCGAAAGGGGUUCCAAUACCGGAUAAUGUCUUCCGACCAAAGAUUUAUCGCCUUUGGAUGGGCCCGCGUUGCAUUACCUAGUUAGUAGGGUAAAAGCCUACCAAGGCGAAGUUCCAUAGCUGGUUUGAGAGGAUGAUCCGCCACACUGUCGCUGAGAAACGGCCCAGAAUCCUACAGGAGGCAGCAGUGGGGAAUACUGGCAAGUGGGGGGAAGCAUGAAGCAGUACUGGCGCGUGAGUGAUGAAGGCCUUAGGGUUGUAAAGUUCUUUUACACGGGAUGAUAAUGACAGUACCGGGAGAAUAAGCUCCGGCUAACUCCGUG
RNAcentral lists this ribosomal RNA (433 nucleotides) under uncultured bacterium. Its description in RNAcentral is "partial 16S ribosomal RNA". It matches the Rfam family "Bacterial small subunit ribosomal RNA", at positions 29 to 507 of the family's 1533-position model. The record is from RNAcentral.